This 296-nucleotide long non-coding RNA is filed under the name Phoenix dactylifera (date palm). RNAcentral's name for it is "long non-coding RNA (PDAC_LNC016784)". The record is from RNAcentral. Lineage: Eukaryota; Viridiplantae; Streptophyta; Magnoliopsida; Arecales; Arecaceae.
UGUCAGUUGAUUUCUUAAUUCAUCAUUGAUUUUAGCUUGACCUUGCAUGAAAGAUUGCAAAGUUUCUUCGAGACUGGAUUUUUGAGGGGGUACAUGUGCAUAAUGAGGGUGCGGAGGUGGAGGAGUUGGGUUAUAUACUUGUUGAGGUUGGUCAUUCCUCCACCUGAAAUUUGGAUGGUUCUUCCAUCCAGGGUUGUAAGUACCCGAAAAAGGAUUAUUGAAAUAUUUUUGAUAGGUAUUCAUAACAUUGGCCUGAUCGUGCAAGACUUCCUUGAAUGCGGGUAUUGUGGGGCAAU